CCUACGGGAGGCAGCAGUGGGGAAUAUUGCACAAUGGGGGAAACCCUGAUGCAGCGACGCCGCGUGAGUGAAGAAGUAUCUCGGUACGUAAAGCUCUAUCAGCAGGGAAGAUAAUGACGGUACCCGACCAAGAAGCCCCGGCUAACUACGUGCCAGCAGCCGCGGUAAUACGUAGGGGGCGAGCGUUAUCCGGAAUUACUGGGUGUAAAGGGAGCGUAGACGGCGAGGUAAGCCUGAAGUGGAAGCCCGCGGCCCAACCGGGGAACUGCUGUGGGAACUGUUUUGCUGGAGUAUGGGAGGGGUAAGCGGAAUUCCUGGUGUAGCGGUGAAAUGCGUAGAUAUCAGGAGGAACACCGGUGGCGAAGGCGGCUUACUGGACCAUAACUGACGUUGAGGCUCGAAAGCGUGGGGAGCGAACAGGAUUAGAUACCCCAGUAGUC
Molecule: ribosomal RNA, 440 nt
Filed under: uncultured bacterium
Lineage: Bacteria
Description: partial 16S ribosomal RNA
Rfam family: Bacterial small subunit ribosomal RNA
Source: RNAcentral